Long non-coding RNA from Oncorhynchus nerka (sockeye salmon), 4828 nucleotides. RefSeq lists it as uncharacterized. The record is from RefSeq and is a predicted model, not a curated record. The transcript is spliced from 7 exons. NCBI's taxonomy places the organism in Eukaryota, Metazoa, Chordata, Actinopteri, Salmoniformes, Salmonidae.
AUCUUAACACAUUUCAACUGAAAUCUGUUUUGUUGUGAGAUCGUCAGGUAGUAUACAGUGAUUUUCAUUGAACAUGCAACAGUGUAGUUCCUUAACAAUUAUGCAUAUAUUACUGUAGGUGGAUGGAAAUUAUCCAACCAUUAUGUAGAAGUGUAGAAAUGGUUGAAUAUAAUAAUAAACUACAUGUAUCAAUCUGACUCCAAUAUCUGCGUCUCUAGGAUCUAGUCAAGGUAGCGAGCCUUGCGUCACCGCUUAGUAGGCUAUGACUUUAAUUAACAUUUCACCGUUAUGCAAUUAUUCAGACGCCAGAUAAUUGGGGCAGGUAGCCUAGUGGUUAGAACGUUGUGCCAUAUAAAUCGAAUCCCCGAGCUGACAAGGUAAAGAUCUGUCGUUCUGUCCCUGACAAGGCAGUUAUUUUAAAUAAGAAUGUAUUCGUAACUGAUUUGCCUAGUUAAAUACAUCUGGAAGAGCUACCAUAAUGCAAUUUCUCAAUUCAACUAAUAGUAUUACAUUAUACAUUACAUACUACUCAGAGUAAGACUACAUUUAAAUGAUAGAAGCGCUCCUCCUGUGUCGCUCCUCUUUGAACAAUCUUCAGUCUGACGAACAAAACAAAAGUUCCGCUGUAACUAAAUCAAUAGCACUUACAGUACAAUUAAAACGUUUAAAAUGCGUAGCUCUUUAUGAACUCAUGAAACAAUCCAAACAUAACAAUUUAAUUCACACAGUAACAGAUUUCACGAUUUCCACUGCAUAUUGGGAGCUAAACAAAUUCACAAAAAAUCUUCACAUAUCUCCAAAAGGGCCAGUUUGACGAGAAUGUUCACUCUGACAGUGACGGGCGACUUGUGCCCUCUGCUGGCCAGAACUGGUAGCUAAAUCUGAGUUCAUAAACAGAAUCAGGAAGCCACCGUUGACAGAACACAAGCCACUCCUACUCCUUUGAAGAAACAUUUGAAGGAAAACGAAACAUAAAGCUAUCUGGUACUCUUGCUGUUUGUUGGUGUGUGUUUGAAAAUGACAGAGGCUAUGGAUUCGAUCAGUUGUUCUAUCUGUCUGGAUCUACUGAAGAAUCCAGCGACUAUUGCUUGUGGACACAGCUACUGUAUGGGCUGCAUUAACGGCUGCUUCGACCAGGAUGAUUCGAAGGUGGUCUACAGCUGCCCCCAGUGUAAGGAAAGCUUAAUCUCCAGGCCCGUUCUGUGGAAAAAAAACACUCUUCUGGCUGAAUUGGUGGAGAAACUGAAGACGACAGAAUAACUCCAAACUUCUCCUCCUGCUCACUAUUAUGUUGGACCUGGAGAUGUGGAGUGUGAUUUCGGCAUUGGGAGAGUGUGUCUGGCCUCUUACUGUGAGACUCACCUCCAGCGUCACUGUGAAGUAGCUCCCUUAAAGAAACACAAGCUGGUCAAAGCCUCCACACAACUACAGUAGAAGAUCUGUUCUCGUCAUGACAAAAUACUGGAGGUUUACUGCCGUACCGUUCAGCAGUGUAGCUGUUGUUUUUGUAUGAUGGAUGAACAUAAAGGCCAUGAUACAGUGUCAGCUGCAGCAGAGAGGACUUAGAAACAGAAACAGUUCUGGGAGAACAUCAAGAAUCCCAGAAUAAAAUCCAGGAUAGAGAGAAGGAGAUACAGGUUGCGAACUCUCUGAAGCAGUGGAGGACAGUGAGAGGAGAGAAGACGCUCUGAGGUAAAGGAGUUGAUCAGAGCCCAGGAGAAGGCUGAAGUGAGUCGGGCUUAAGGACUCCUGGAGCAGGAGGUCGCUGAGCUGAGGAGAGAUGCUGAGCUGAGGAGAGAUGCUGAGCUGAGGAGAGAUGCUGAGCUGAGAAGAGAUGCUGAGCUGAAGUAGCUCUCACACACAGACAUCCAUUUCCUCCAGAGUUUCCAGUUUCUCUGUGUCUCUCCUGGAUCUCAGGCCUUAUCUCCUUUAAGCAUUUGAAGGCAUCAGUCUCUGAACUGAAAGAUCGACAACAAGACAUAUGCAAGGAGGAAAUGGACAAGAUAUCUGAUGACGUGAUUCAAGUUCAGAUUGACCACCCUGCUGAGCCCAAGACUAGAGAGGAGUUCUUAAAAUACUCCUGCCAGCUGACGUUGGAUCCCAAUACAGCACAACAGUACAUGUGUCUGUCUGAGGAAAAUAGAAAGACACAGCAGCACGCUGGCUUGAGAAUCCUUUGGAGAACCCAACGGACUGAUCCUUUCUUGGGUCGGAUGGCAACAACCUCUGUAAAUACCAAGAAGGUGAAAACCUUUGGUUACAAACACUGAGCAGUUAAUGGGCUCUACUACACCAAGCUGUUAAGACCUGACCAGUUAAUGGGCUCUACUACACCAAGCUGUUAAGACCUGACCAGUUAAUGGGCUCUACUACACCAAGCUGUUAAGACCUGACCAGUUAAUGGGCUCUACUACACCAAGCUGUUAAGACCACAUACUGACCAGUUAAUGGGCUCUACUACACCAAGCUGUUAAGACCUGACCAGUUAAUGGGCUCUACUACACCAAGCUGUUAAGACCAAAUACUGACCAGUUAAUGGGCUCUACUACACCAAGCGUUUAAGACCUGACCAGUUAAUGGGCUCUACUACACCAAGCUUUUAAGACCUGACCAGUUAAUGGGCUCUACUACACCAAGCUUUUAAGACCUGACCAGUUAAUGGGCUCUACUACACCAAGCUGUUAAGACCAAACACUGAGCAGUUAAUGGGCUCUACUACACCAAGCUUUUAAGACCACAUACUGAGCAGUUAAUGGGCUCUACUACACCAAGCUUUUAAGACUACAUACUGAGCAGUUAAUGGGCUCUACUACACCAAGCUUUUAAGACCAAACACUGAGCAGUUAAUGGGCUCUACUACACCAAGCUGUUAAGACCAAACACUGAGCAGUUAAUGGGCUCUACUACACCAAGCUGUUAAGACCAAAUACUGACCAGUUAAUGGGCUCUACUACACCAAGCUGUUAAGACCUGACCAGUUAAUGGGCUCUACUACACCAAGCUGUUAAGACCUGACCAGUUAAUGGGCUCUACUACACCAAGCUGUUAAGACCUGACCAGUUAAUGGGCUCUACUACACCAAGCUGUUAAGACCUGACCAGUUAAUGGGCUCUACUACACCAAGCUGUUAAGACCUGACCAGUUAAUGGGCUCUACUACACCAAGCUGUUAAGACCUGACCAGUUAAUGGGCUCUACUACACCAAGCUUUUAAGACCUGACCAGUUAAUGGGCUCUACUACACCAAGCUGUUAAGACCAAACACUGAGCAGUUAAUGGGCUCUACUACACCAAGCUUUUAAGACUACAUACUGAGCAGUUAAUGGGCUCUACUACACCAAGCUUUUAAGACCAAACACUGAGCAGUUAAUGGGCUCUACUACACCAAGCUUUUAAGACCAAACACUGAGCAGUUAAUGGGCUCUACUACACCAAGCUUUUAAGACUAAAUACUGAGCAGUUAAUGGGCUCUACUACACCAAGCUUUUAAGACCAAACACUGAGCAGUUAAUGGGCUCUACUACACCAAGCUGUUAAGACCUGACCAGUUAAUGGGCUCUACUACACCAAGCUUUUAAGACCUGACCAGUUAAUGGGCUCUACUACACCAAGCUGUUAAGACCAAAUACUGACCAGUUAAUGGGCUCUACUACACCAAGCUGUUAAGACCAAAUACUGACCAGUUAAUGGGCUCUACUACACCAAGCUUUUAAGACCUGACCAGUUAAUGGGCUCUACUACACCAAGCUGUUAAGACCUGACCAGUUAAUGGGCUCUACUACACCAAGCUGUUAAGACCUGACCAGUUAAUGGGCUCUACUACACCAAGCUGUUAAGACCAAACACUGAGCAGUUAAUGGGCUCUACUACACCAAGCUUUUAAGACCAAAUACUGACCAGUUAAUGGGCUCUACUACACCAAGCUUUUAAGACCAAACACUGAGUGUCACGCCUUGGUCAUUGUAUUUUGUUAAUAGUUUGGGUAGGCCAGGGUGUGACAUGGGUAUAUAUGUUGUGUUUCGUAUUGGGGUUUGUAUUAUUUGGGACUGUCCCGAGCUGCCCCUCUGUCCCGAGCUGUCCCUCAGUUAUGUGGGGAUCAGGGUGAGGAAUAUUAGGCCAUGGUCGGCGGAGAAAGUGGAUUAUCCCAGGACGCGAAGGAGAGGAACAAGGACAUUAAUGGAGUGGGGUCCACGUCCCGAGCCGGAACCGCCACCAUGGACAGACGCCCACCCGGACCCUCCCUAUGCUUUUGAGGUGCGUCCGGGAGUCCGCACCUUAGGGGGGGGGGUUCUGUCACGCCUUGGUCAUUGUAUUUUGUGUUUUGUUAAUAGUUUGGGUAGGCCAGGGUGUGACAUGGGUAUAUAUGUUGUGUUUCGUAUUGGGGUUUGUAUUAUUUGGGAUUGCGGCUGAUUAGGGGUGUGGUAUAGGUUUGGCUGCCUGAGGCGGUUCUCAAUGAGAGUCAGGUGCUUCUCUUUGUCUCUGAUUGGGAACCGUAUUUAGGUAGCUUGAGUUCGCGUUGUAUUUCGUGGGUGAUUGUCCUGUCUCUGUGUUGUAGUCACCAGAUAGGCUCAGUCACUUGGUUUUUUCUUUUCAAUUGUUUUGGAAGAGAAGAGAACGAGCGCCAUUCUCCUUGCGGAGAUGGUGCUAAAUACAUCAACACGGUCGGUCCCUGGGAUUGGGCUGGCCAACACGAUUCGGUUUGCUUGGAAGGAAAAGGAGUUUGAGCCUUUAGGACGGGAAUCCUUUGGAAGGAUAAUAUUGAUGGGGAUUCUAAAGCUGACGGUGAAGGACGUGUUUUGUUUCCAAGGCAACUCGUUGGAGGGAGCAUA